RNAcentral lists this unclassified non-coding RNA (332 nucleotides) under soil metagenome. RNAcentral describes it as "partial contains 5.8S ribosomal RNA, internal transcribed spacer 2, and large subunit ribosomal RNA". The stretch from base 1 to 120 matches the Rfam family "5.8S ribosomal RNA", at positions 35 to 154 of the family's 154-position model. The record is from RNAcentral.
GAUGAAGAACGUAGUGAAAUGCGAUAAGUAGUGUGAAUUGCAGAAUUCAGUGAAUCAUCGAAUCUUUGAACGCACAUUGCGCCCUUUGGUAUUCCUUAGGGCAUACCUGUUCGAGCGUCAUUUAAACCUUCAAGCUAAGCUUGGUGUUGGGUGACUGUCCGCUUCACGGCGGACUCGCCUCAAAAUUAUUGGCGGCCGGUACAUUGGCUUCGAGCGCAGCAGAAACGCGAACUCGGGCCCGUCGUAUUGGCUCCCAGAAGCUAUCUUCACAAUUUUGACCUCGGAUCAGGUAGGGAUACCCGCUGAACUUAAGCAUAUCAAUAAGCGGAGGA